CUCUGACUCCCAGGUGUAUGCUUUCUCUACUAGGCUAUGCUGUUUUCCAGGGCUGCCUGCCUUGAGGUGAGCUUCCAGGCACAGUUUCCCUAUCCCCAAGCCACACGAUAAGAUGCAGCUAACUUCCCUCCAGGGACUAACCUACUCUCCCACAAAUACUAAGCCAUUGGCUCCAAAUCCAAAAGUACACCAAAAUAGCAAUGCCAACAGCAAACCAAUCUUCAAGAGUAACCAUAGUCUCCUUUAACAAACAUUUUUCCUUGUUAGUCUCCUUUUGGAUAGGAACGGAGACCUCAGACAGAAACCCUGAUGAUUCAUACAGGAUGUUCGCAUUCACAGAACUGGCGGUUGAACUUCUGGGAAUCAUUUCACUGCCUCACUGUUUUCUGCAUGACAGUGCAUAAAUGGGCGAAGAAUUACUUAACUGGAGGAACUCAACACACCAGCUCACUUUUGACAUUUGGAUGGAUCACAAAGCUGGCAUUUAAAAGUAUUUUCUUA
Long non-coding RNA from Ornithorhynchus anatinus (platypus), 501 nucleotides. RefSeq lists it as uncharacterized. The record is from RefSeq and is a predicted model, not a curated record. The transcript is spliced from 2 exons. NCBI's taxonomy places the organism in Eukaryota, Metazoa, Chordata, Mammalia, Monotremata, Ornithorhynchidae.